Regulatory RNA element from Sulfurimonas autotrophica DSM 16294, 136 nucleotides. It matches the Rfam family "purD RNA motif". NCBI's taxonomy places the organism in Bacteria, Pseudomonadati, Campylobacterota, Epsilonproteobacteria, Campylobacterales, Sulfurimonadaceae. The record is from Rfam.
GUAGAAUUGUCGUGUGUCGAUGAUUUCGUUUGAGGUAUGUUAACUCUGCCGAUGAAACUGUCGCCGUUAGGCAAUCCUCUCUUCACCCAAAUUCGGCUUUUUAGAACCAAGCCAAUAGUGUGACGGCUACUCGGAU